AUUGAACGCUGGCGGCAGGCCUAACACAUGCAAGUCGGACGGUAGCACAGAGGAGCUUGCUCCUCGGGUGACGAGUGGCGGACGGGUGAGUAAUGUCUGGGAAACUGCCCGAUGGAGGGGGAUAACUACUGGAAACGGUAGCUAAUACCGCAUAACGUCGCAAGACCAAAGUGGGGGACCUUCGGGCCUCACACCAUCGGAUGUGCCCAGAUGGGAUUAGCUGGUAGGCGGGGUAACGGCCCACCUAGGCGACGAUCCCUAGCUGGUCUGAGAGGAUGACCAGCCACACUGGAACUGAGACACGGUCCAGACUCCUACGGGAGGCAGCAGUGGGGAAUAUUGCACAAUGGGCGCAAGCCUGAUGCAGCCAUGCCGCGUGUAUGAAGAAGGCCUUCGGGUUGUAAAGUACUUUCAGCGGGGAGGAAGGUGCUGAGGUUAAUAAGCUCAGCAAUUGACGUUACCCGCAGAAGAAGCACCGGCUAACUCCGUGCCAGCAGCCGCCGCAG
This 506-nucleotide ribosomal RNA is filed under the name uncultured bacterium. Its description in RNAcentral is "partial 16S ribosomal RNA". It matches the Rfam family "Bacterial small subunit ribosomal RNA", at positions 29 to 523 of the family's 1533-position model. The record is from RNAcentral.